CCUGCUUACAGUGCACCUGCAGGAGCCUCUACCCCAGAUCCUGCUCCUGAGGGCAGACUGCUACUGGAGUCUUCAACCCGAAGCUGAGGCACAGACAAGGGUGGCUGUUUGCUGGGGAUGUACAGGACGAAGCCAAGGGUGGAGAGGGAAGAUGAUGGCUGCAGGCUAAGGGCUGUAGACUGGUGCUGCCCCCUAUCCCCAAGAUGACUUUCUGGCCCAGAAUUCAGAAGACCCUGAAGAUUGGAACUAGAACCUGGCUUUCCAGGUCUUUCUGAAGGUCUGCUUGCCAAGAAUUGAAGUUGCUCAAUAGGCAGCAUGGGCAGGAUCCAAGGUUGCUUGAUGUAAACAUUGUUGAGAAUGACUGCACUCCAGGACCAAAAUAACCCACUGGAAAGGCCAUUCAAGCCACAUUACCA
Molecule: long non-coding RNA, 416 nt
Filed under: Homo sapiens (human)
Lineage: Eukaryota; Metazoa; Chordata; Mammalia; Primates; Hominidae
Description: HSALNT0251004
Source: RNAcentral